UACCAGCUCUCCGAGUGGUGUGGAUGUUUAUUGGGCCUAAAGCAUCCGUAGCUGGCUGGGCAAGUCCCCUGUUAAAUCCACCGAUUUAAUCGUUGGUGUGCGGGGGAUACUGUUCGGCUAGGGGACGGGAGAGGCCGACGGUAUUUUCGGGGUAGGGGUGAAAUCCUAUAAUCCCGGGAAGACCACCAGUGGCGAAGGCUGUCGGCUAGAACGCGCCCGACGGUGAGGGAUGAAAGCUGGGGGAGCGAACCGGACUAGAUACCCGGGUAGUCCCAGCUGUAAACGAUGCAGGCUAGGUGUUUGGGCGGCCACGUGCCGCUCUAGUGCCGCAGAGAAGUCGUUAAGCCUGCCGCCUGGGGAGUACGGCCGCGAGGCUGAAACUUAAAGGAAUUGGCGGGGGAGCACCACAAGGGGUGAAGCUUGCGGUUU
Molecule: ribosomal RNA, 429 nt
Filed under: uncultured archaeon
Lineage: Archaea
Description: bacterial SSU rRNA
Rfam family: Archaeal small subunit ribosomal RNA
Source: RNAcentral